This 238-nucleotide ribosomal RNA is filed under the name uncultured bacterium. RNAcentral describes it as "partial 16S ribosomal RNA". It matches the Rfam family "Bacterial small subunit ribosomal RNA", at positions 118 to 352 of the family's 1533-position model. The record is from RNAcentral.
UGAGCAAUCUGCCCUUCUCUUUGGAAUAAGCGUUGGAAACGACGUCUAAUGCCGAAUACGACCUCCUUUCGCAUGAUCGGAGGUGGAAAGCUCCGGCGGAGAAGGAUGAGCUCGCGGCCUAUCACCUAGUUGGUGUGGGUAAUGGCCCACCAAGGCGACGACGGGUAGCCGGCCUGAGGAGGGCGACCGGCCACACGUGGGACUGAGAUACGGCCCAGACUCCGUACGGGGAGGCAGC